GGCAGUGGUAGCUCAGAGGUAAAGAUGUUGGACUACUGAUCUGAAGGUUGUGAGUUCAAAUCCCAGCACUGCCA
Non-coding RNA from Pangasianodon gigas (Mekong giant catfish), 74 nucleotides. NCBI's taxonomy places the organism in Eukaryota, Metazoa, Chordata, Actinopteri, Siluriformes, Pangasiidae. The record is from the annotation of a GenBank genome assembly.